GCGGUGAAAUGCGUAGAUAUCUAUCGGAACGCCGAAGGUGAAAACAGGCAGCUGGGCUUGAUCUGACGCUGAGGUACGAAAGCGUGGGGAGCGAACGGGAUUAGAUACCCCGGUAGUCCACGCCGUAAACGAUGUGCACUUGAUCAGGGUGGUUCUGACAUCUCCCGGAUCGAAGCAAAAGUGUUUAGUGCACCGCCUGGGGAGUACGGUCGCAAGGCUAAAACUCAAAGGAAUUGACGG
Molecule: ribosomal RNA, 240 nt
Filed under: uncultured bacterium
Lineage: Bacteria
Description: partial 16S ribosomal RNA
Rfam family: Bacterial small subunit ribosomal RNA
Source: RNAcentral